GGGGGUGUAGCUCAGAUGGUAGAGCGCGCACUUAGCAUGCGCGAGGUACCGGGAUCGAUACCCGGCACCUCCA
Ciona savignyi (Pacific transparent sea squirt) is the source of this 73-nucleotide non-coding RNA. NCBI's taxonomy places the organism in Eukaryota, Metazoa, Chordata, Ascidiacea, Phlebobranchia, Cionidae. The record is from Rfam.